UACGUAGGGAGCGAGCGUUGUCCGGAUUUAUUGGGCGUAAAGAGCGCGUAGGCGGCUCGGUAAGCCGGAUGUGAAACCUCCAAGCUCAACUUGGAGCGGCCAUUCGGAACUGCUGUGGCUAGAGUCUGGUAGGGGAACACGGAAUUCCUGGCGUAGCGGUGAAAUGCUUAGAUAUCAGGAGGAACACCAGUGGCGAAGGCGGUGUUCUGGGCCAGUACUGACGCUGAGGCGCGAAAGCGUGGGGAGCGAACAGG
Molecule: ribosomal RNA, 254 nt
Filed under: uncultured bacterium
Lineage: Bacteria
Description: partial 16S ribosomal RNA
Rfam family: Bacterial small subunit ribosomal RNA
Source: RNAcentral